This is a long non-coding RNA of Solea senegalensis (Senegalese sole), 105 nucleotides long. RefSeq lists it as uncharacterized. The record is from RefSeq and is a predicted model, not a curated record. NCBI's taxonomy places the organism in Eukaryota, Metazoa, Chordata, Actinopteri, Pleuronectiformes, Soleidae. The transcript has 2 exons.
CAGAGGAGGAGGCAGAGGAGGAGACAGAGAAGGAGACCGAGGAGGAGAGGCUCUUGUCCAGUCACAGCUCAGGUUCAGCUUCUGACCCCGGGGCCAAAAGGAAAA